RNAcentral lists this unclassified non-coding RNA (174 nucleotides) under Neofavolus mikawae. RNAcentral describes it as "Neofavolus mikawai partial ITS1". Lineage: Eukaryota; Fungi; Basidiomycota; Agaricomycetes; Polyporales; Polyporaceae. The record is from RNAcentral.
GCUGGCCUUCCGAGGCAUGUGCACGCCCUGCUCAAUCCACUCUACACCUGUGCACUUACUGUGGGUUUCGGCGGCUUCGCAGACCUCAAGGUUUGCGUGGCUUACCCGUGCCUACGUUUUUCUACAAACUCUUAAAAGUAACAGAAUGUGUAUCGCGAUGUAACGCAUCUAUAU